RNAcentral lists this ribosomal RNA (588 nucleotides) under Lodderomyces elongisporus. RNAcentral describes it as "eukaryotic LSU rRNA". It matches the Rfam family "Eukaryotic large subunit ribosomal RNA", at positions 66 to 670 of the family's 3401-position model. The record is from RNAcentral. Lineage: Eukaryota; Fungi; Ascomycota; Pichiomycetes; Serinales; Debaryomycetaceae.
CAACAGGGAUUGCCUUAGUAGCGGCGAGUGAAGCGGCAAUAGCUCAAAUUUGAAAUCUGGCACUUUCAGUGUCCGAGUUGUAAUUUGAAGAAGGUAUCUUUGGGUCUAGCUCUUGUCUAUGUUUCUUGGAACAGAACGUCACAGAGGGUGAGAAUCCCGUGCGAUGAGAUGUCUAGAUCUAUGUAAAGUUCCUUCGAAGAGUCGAGUUGUUUGGGAAUGCAGCUCUAAGUGGGUGGUAAAUUCCAUCUAAAGCUAAAUAUUGGCGAGAGACCGAUAGCGAACAAGUACAGUGAUGGAAAGAUGAAAAGAACUUUGAAAAGAGAGUGAAAAAGUACGUGAAAUUGUUGAAAGGGAAGGGCUUGAGAUCAGACUUGGUAUUUUGUAUGUUACUCUCUCGGGGGUGGCCUCUACAGUUUACCGGGCCAGCAUCAGUUUGAGCGGUAGGAGAAUUGCGUAGGAAUGUGGCUCGGCCUCGGUCGAGUGUUAUAGCCUUCGUCGAUACUGCCAGCUUAGACUGAGGACUGCGGCUUCGGCCUAGGAUGUUGGCAUAAUGAUCUUAAGUCGCCCGUCUUACACCCACGGACCAAA